RNAcentral lists this ribosomal RNA (871 nucleotides) under Salmonella enterica subsp. enterica serovar Infantis. RNAcentral's name for it is "partial 23S ribosomal RNA". It matches the Rfam family "Bacterial large subunit ribosomal RNA", at positions 2072 to 2925 of the family's 2925-position model. The record is from RNAcentral. Lineage: Bacteria; Pseudomonadati; Pseudomonadota; Gammaproteobacteria; Enterobacterales; Enterobacteriaceae.
GCGGCAAGACGGAAAGACCCCGUGAACCUUUACUAUAGCUUGACACUGAACAUUGAGCCUUGAUGUGUAGGAUAGGUGGGAGGCUUUGAAGUGUGGACGCCAGUCUGCAUGGAGCCGACCUUGAAAUACCACCCUUUAAUGUUUGAUGUUCUAACGUGGACCCGUGAUCCGGGUUGCGGACAGUGUCUGGUGGGUAGUUUGACUGGGGCGGUCUCCUCCUAAAGAGUAACGGAGGAGCACGAAGGUUGGCUAAUCCUGGUCGGACAUCAGGAGGUUAGUGCAAUGGCAUAAGCCAGCUUGACUGCGAGCGUGACGGCGCGAGCAGGUGCGAAAGCAGGUCAUAGUGAUCCGGUGGUUCUGAAUGGAAGGGCCAUCGCUCAACGGAUAAAAGGUACUCCGGGGAUAACAGGCUGAUACCGCCCAAGAGUUCAUAUCGACGGCGGUGUUUGGCACCUCGAUGUCGGCUCAUCACAUCCUGGGGCUGAAGUAGGUCCCAAGGGUAUGGCUGUUCGCCAUUUAAAGUGGUACGCGAGCUGGGUUUAGAACGUCGUGAGACAGUUCGGUCCCUAUCUGCCGUGGGCGCUGGAGAACUGAGGGGGGCUGCUCCUAGUACGAGAGGACCGGAGUGGACGCAUCACUGGUGUUCGGGUUGUCAUGCCAAUGGCACUGCCCGGUAGCUAAAUGCGGAAGAGAUAAGUGCUGAAAGCAUCUAAGCACGAAACUUGCCCCGAGAUGAGUUCUCCCUGAGACUUAGAGUCUCCUGAAGGAACGUUGAAGACGACGACGUUGAUAGGCCGGGUGUGUAAGCGCAGCGAUGCGUUGAGCUAACCGGUACUAAUGAACCGUGAGGCUUAACCUUACAACGCCGAAG